Molecule: unclassified non-coding RNA, 253 nt
Filed under: uncultured Sphingobacteriaceae bacterium
Lineage: Bacteria; Pseudomonadati; Bacteroidota; Sphingobacteriia; Sphingobacteriales; Sphingobacteriaceae
Description: contains 16S-23S intergenic spacer region
Rfam family: Bacterial small subunit ribosomal RNA
Source: RNAcentral
UACGGAGGAUCCAAGCGUUAUCCGGAUUUAUUGGGUUUAAAGGGUGCGUAGGCGGCCUAUUAAGUCAGGGGUGAAAGACGGUAGCUCAACUAUCGCAGUGCCUUUGAUACUGAUGGGCUUGAAUGAACUAGAGGUAGGCGGAAUGAGACAAGUAGCGGUGAAAUGCAUAGAUAUGUCUCAGAACACCGAUUGCGAAGGCAGCUUACUAUGGUUUAAUUGACGCUGAGGCACGAAAGCGUGGGGAUCAAACAGG